UACGUAGGGUGCAAGCGUUGUUCGGAAUUAUUGGGCGUAAAGCGUGCGUAGGUUGUCUGAUAAGUCAGGCGUGAAAUCCCACGGCUUAACCGUGGAAUUGCGCUUGAAACUAUCAGGCUGGAGGAAGGAAGAGGUAAGUGGAAUUCCUAGUGUAGAGGUGAAAUUCGUAGAUAUUAGGAGGAACACUCGUGGCGAAGGCGGCUUACUGGUCCUUUCCUGACGCUGAGGCACGAAAGCGUGGGUAGCAAACAGG
This 253-nucleotide ribosomal RNA is filed under the name uncultured bacterium. Its description in RNAcentral is "partial 16S ribosomal RNA". It matches the Rfam family "Bacterial small subunit ribosomal RNA", at positions 524 to 776 of the family's 1533-position model. The record is from RNAcentral.